This 253-nucleotide ribosomal RNA is filed under the name uncultured bacterium. RNAcentral describes it as "partial 16S ribosomal RNA". It matches the Rfam family "Bacterial small subunit ribosomal RNA", at positions 524 to 776 of the family's 1533-position model. The record is from RNAcentral.
UACAGAGGGUGCGAGCGUUAAUCGGAAUUACCGGGCGUAAAGCGUGCGUAGACGGUAGCGUAAGUCAGAUGUGAAAGCCCCGGGCUCAACCUGGGAACUGCAUUUGAGACUGCUCUGCUCGGGUGCGGAAGAGGGAAGCGGAAUUUCCGGUGUAGCGGUGAAAUGCGUAGAUAUCGGAAGGAACACCAGUGGCGAAAGCGGCUUCCUGGUCCGACACCGACGUUCAGGCACGAAAGCGUGGGGAGCAAACAGG